GGCUGCAGCCAGCCCUCUGCUCAGCUGUGCCCUCUGCCUCACACCUCUCCGGAGCACUGAACUCUGCAAUCACUGACACAGACAAUUCAAUUGGAAGGAACAUCUGUCUCGGAAUUGUGUUCCCAUUCAGGCUGCCGCCGUGGCGACAGGGUGACAUUUUUCAUGCGUCUUGCCUGCUUUCUUUAAUCUCCUAAAUACAGGCACGGCUGUGGAACACAGGAAGGUUCCUCUCCCGUGAGAAGGAGAAAGAAAUUAGCCAGCAGAUCGAGCGUGUAUAGCAAAUAAUGAGAUUGCCUUGGAUACAGAACCGGAAUUCAUGUAAAGAAUGAUGCUGAUCGGAGACGAUAAGCGGCAUUUCUGGGGUCCGCAAACAGCGUCAUGAAACUUGCAUUUCUCAAGUUCUGAGACACGCGUGGAUGAAGGCUGCCAGCACAGGCCUGAUCCACAGACUGCACAGGAAUAAGCUGUACAGACACAGGCACUGUGAUGCUGGCGGAGCAGCAGCCACAAAGGCAACUUGUCCUGACAGAGCUCCACUGAGACGUGCUGUGUUUGCCCAAGGGUGCAGACCCAGCUCUAGUGGAGUCAGUGUGUCCUUUAAAAGGAGAUGGAUUUGUCCAAUACUUUCAAUACUCUGAAGAUGAGACUUGCUGGACAGUAAGAAGGCAGAAUCACUUCACUUUUCUUCACUGCCUGGGAUGCAAACAAAAGAAGCCAGAGCAAGUUCCUGCCUGCUGAAAUUCCAGGAGCUUGAGCUGCAUUCCAGCACGGCUGAGGGGUGUUUUGAAUCUUUUCUCAUAUGCAUCAGCCCUGCACGGCUCCCAAGCAACUGCACUUUCAGUUAGUUAUUAUUAAUAGUAAAGGAUUGACUACCAAUAGUUCUCAUUAAUUUCCAUGGCAAUAUUGCCCGAAUCAAGAUAACAAUUGCCUCGAGUUGUGUAACCAAAGCUCAUAACGUGAAGGAAUGCAAUCCAGGGAAAGUGCUCAGAUGGAGGGAAGUGACCGACCUUCCAUAACCUCCCUAAGGCCAAACUUCCCUUCAUAUCUAGCAGGCUGCAUUCCUAAUUUUCUGAAAAUAUGGAACGGUUUGCACUUUCAGGCUGUGUCCUCUGGGCUUCAGUCUCUAGCAUGCCUCACAGCUUUCCUGAAACAUUGCACCCACACAUUUAUUCCUUUAUAUUCCUCCUAACGAUGCAUGUCUGGAGCUUCCAUAAGAGAAGAUGUAACAGG
Molecule: long non-coding RNA, 1230 nt
Organism: Corvus hawaiiensis (hawaiian crow)
Lineage: Eukaryota; Metazoa; Chordata; Aves; Passeriformes; Corvidae
Exons: 3
Source: RefSeq, a predicted model, not a curated record